AUAUUAUUUUUGUAGUUAGGUCUCUCUUUGAAAACCUUAGCCUCCCUUCAACCAGCAACUAUCCAAUGAAACUUAAUACCUUUAAUUUGCAAAGAACUGUUUUUGAGAUCUGUCUCAAUGGAACUUAAAAAUUGCAUCCAGAGAGAAUGUAGUGUGGAUUUUCCCAAGGUGUGUCACAUCCCAAAGAUCUAUGUCAGGAAGUAACUCAGGAUUUUUCAUGAAGGUUUUUGCCCUGGCUCUUUUAGAAAGAAUCAUGCUGAAGAGAUUAUGAAUUUGCCCUCUUUGCUUCAAAAGGACCCAGUUACUGUUGAGUGCUCCAAUUCACAGUAUCAUUUAGAUAUCUGUUUAUUGUGUCAAACAAAUAAUACUCAGGACUUAGUUUCUAAAUUGCUUAUAAUAAAUGUAAAAGUUUGAACUC
Quercus lobata is the source of this 418-nucleotide long non-coding RNA. RefSeq lists it as uncharacterized. The record is from RefSeq and is a predicted model, not a curated record. The transcript is spliced from 2 exons. NCBI's taxonomy places the organism in Eukaryota, Viridiplantae, Streptophyta, Magnoliopsida, Fagales, Fagaceae.